CUGACCGUAAACGAUGCCAACUAGCGAUCCGCCGGUGGAUUCCUUGCCCUGGCGGGUACCUUCCCGGAAACGAAAGUCUUCCGGUUCCGGGGGAAGUAUGGUUGCAAAGCUGAAACUUAAAGGAAUUGACGGAAGGGCACCACCAGGAGUGGAGCCUGCGGCUUAAUUUGACUCAACACGGGGAAACUCACCCGGCCCGGACACCGUAAGGAUUGACAGAUUGAUAGCUUUUUCAUGAUUCGGUGGAUGGUGGUGCAUGGCCGUUCUUAGUUCGUGGAGCGAUUUGUCUGGUUUAUUCCGAUAACGAGCGAGACUCUAGCCUACUAAAUAGUUCGCACAUUGUCUCUGUGUGUGUGACUUCUUAGAGGGAUUUUCGGUGUUCAGCCGCACGAAAUUGAGCAAUAACAGGUCUGUGAUGCCCUUAGAUGUCCGGGGCUGCACGCGCGCUACACUGGCAAAAUCAGCGUGCUUGUCCUUCCCCGAAAGGGGUUGGUAAACCCUUGAAAAUUUGCCGUGAUUGGGAUUGGAAAUUGCCAAUUAUUUUCCAUGAACGAGGAAUUCCAAGUAAGUGCGAGUCAUCAGCUCGCGUUG
This 591-nucleotide ribosomal RNA is filed under the name Belonolaimidae environmental sample. RNAcentral's name for it is "SSU rRNA". It matches the Rfam family "Eukaryotic small subunit ribosomal RNA", at positions 1026 to 1643 of the family's 1831-position model. The record is from RNAcentral. Lineage: Eukaryota; Metazoa; Nematoda; Chromadorea; Rhabditida; Belonolaimidae.